CAAGGGAAGCAUGUUUAGUUGGAGGCUGCUGCCUUUGGUGUGUUUAGUGAGCUCUGAUCCUUGGACAGAGGCUCUUCUGGAGGACUUCUUAGCUUGUGACCUUCCAAGAAGUACGAUCAGUGAGGGUUGCGCAGUUACCAAAUAUCCGUACAAGGCAUAGCAAGAGGCUUGUAUGGCUAUCACUCCAUUCAGAGCAACAAAAUAAAGAGGAACAGGUACGCUAACAAUAAGCCCAAUUGAAAUGUCAGCACUUAGCAGCAGCUCAACAAGGGCUCUUGCAGAAUCGUUCCUGAUCCUGAUUCAGCAGUCAUGUAGCUUUUCCUGCCUGUAUGGAACAUGGCUGGCUAAGAUGGCGGCAAGAGAGAACAGCGGAAGAUGGGGGGACAGAACCUCUACAGAUGGACAAACCAACAAGGAUGAAGUAAGGACUAAACAUGGAACUGCUGCCAGCUUUUGGAAUGAAGCUUGUGCCAAACUCUGUGUUGUUGCUGAUUUUCACAUGAUGGAUGUGGAAACGCCUGGUUUUGUCAGAGCUGGCUUUGCUGAAGAUGCCUUGCAGGACUGCAGAAGGGGAAACCCAGCUCUCCUCCAGCUCAACUCUGUUGCAUCUGGUACAGCUGAAACCAUACCAAAGGAAGGACAUGUCCAAAGCCCUCUCUUGGGAGGAGGCUGAUGAGUGUCAUGGUGAGUUACUGACACCAUUAAAAGAAAUGGCUGCUGGCAGACCUCUUUGCUUGUGAACACUGUGGCUCUGGACAGAUGGAUAUCACAUCUUGACUGCUUCUGGGAUGUUCCAAAGUCUUCAGAAGCCCCCUGAGCCCAGGGCUGCGUGCUACACCGAAAUGUUCAAUCCUGCAUUUGAAUAAGCUGAAUCAAGCCAGCCAUACUGCUAAACAUAUGCAUGGAGGCUUCUUACAUAAACGAACGUUGCCCUGAAGCACUUGUAGUGCAGUUGUUACUGCCUUGUGUUAAUGGAGAAGGACCCCAAAGAGAAUGGAGUGUAAG
This 1005-nucleotide long non-coding RNA is filed under the name Gallus gallus (chicken). Lineage: Eukaryota; Metazoa; Chordata; Aves; Galliformes; Phasianidae. The record is from RNAcentral.